AUAUGUAGUAGAAACUACCCACUAGAUGGAAACUUGGAAACUAGCAUCCUGGGUCAUCUGAUAAGCAGCGUGCGGCGUAAGAUCAGAUUAAACAGUGACGAGGUACUUUUGCAAUUCAACGCCCGCUCCGCUCGGUCCAUUUUAUGAUUAGCCCCUUGCACUAUCCCAGUCUUGAAUCGAGCGAUCUCCUGAAUAGAUCCCCUUAUCCUUCCCAUCGAUGCGAGCGUCGGCGAUGCUCCACGGGGCCAAGGUGGCGCUCGCCGCGCUCCUCGCCGCCUCACCGGCCGGCAGCCUUCUACCUCCCCGGCAUUGCGCCCAUCGAGAUUUGAGUCUGUUCUUCACCACAAUCGCAAGUAUGCCAUGGCUGGGCCGCGAGUACCUAGUCACCAGGCGGCCGGUGCACAACAUCCUCACUUCAAUCGAUCCCCAUGGUUUAAUUCUGUGCUCUCAUUAUUUAAAAUAACAGCAGAUGGUAUGCUACUUGCUCGUAUUUCUUUUCUGAAAUUGCCUGCGUUUUGUAAGUACUCUAUUGGAACAUAUAAGAGCUCUGCAAUUUGUGAUGUAUAUGCUUGAUGGUGGAGUUGCGGUCCUAUUCUGUACAAUUGAUGGAGUUGGUUCUUGUUAUUUUGAAGUUGAUUGAGUCCUCACAUGGUGCAAUUUAUGUCCUUGGUUCUGACAUUAGCCUAAAGCCUGAUAUUGGCAUGGUAUUCAGUAGUUUGCAGGAAGGUGAAGGCUAUUGCAGAUCCUAUGCUUACCCUGCCUCUUUUUGCAUUUGCCACACUGAAAAUCAGGUUUUCAACAUAUUUUGAUCGAACUAGGUGAAAAAAUUGCUACUGUUGCUUCUGUGGAGUAUCCAAGUUCCUUUGGGCUGCUUACUCGCUACUGUACUUAGCAGAUUUUGGCAAGUUCAAUAGGGAAGGAUAAUUGAAGAAUAAUGCGUGCUGCACUACUGCUCGAUAAGUUGGACGAUGACCAUUCUUGUGCACUUGCUAAAAGUAGUAGUCAGAACGGCAUGCACGCUUGAUUAUUUGUAUGCACUGUGUGCUGCCCAAAGGUUGCAUAAACACCAUGUGUAAUAUUAAUCCUCUAGUCUCCUAUCUUUUGAAC
Long non-coding RNA from Panicum virgatum (switchgrass), 1107 nucleotides. RefSeq lists it as uncharacterized. The record is from RefSeq and is a predicted model, not a curated record. The transcript has 2 exons. NCBI's taxonomy places the organism in Eukaryota, Viridiplantae, Streptophyta, Magnoliopsida, Poales, Poaceae.